This is an RNA transcript of Glycine soja, 1529 nucleotides long. RefSeq lists it as uncharacterized. The record is from RefSeq and is a predicted model, not a curated record. NCBI's taxonomy places the organism in Eukaryota, Viridiplantae, Streptophyta, Magnoliopsida, Fabales, Fabaceae. The transcript is spliced from 5 exons.
GCCGGCUUCGGCAACGGUUUUCUCCACUCGUGUCUCUCUCUCUCUUGCUCGAUACAAAGAGGCACACACAAACAGAAUCUCUACCUUUCUUCCUUUCACUGGAAUCAGAAUCUCCCCGACAGAAGCAGUAUCACCCAAACCACACUUCCAAAACCGAAACCCUAAUUUGCACAAUGCGUGUGGUUCUGCAACAAGAAUCUCUUCCUUCUAUAAUAAACUCCUUCCCACGCUUCUUCACGCUCUAGUUCCAUCCAUCCGCCAUGGCCACCGAGCACGAAAAGCAGUUAAUUGUGGCCAAACCGAACCCUAACACCAAAAGCCCUCGCCGAUCCUCCACCUCCUCCUCGCUCGCCAUCAUCGACGGCAUUUUCGCGAGAAAAAGCUUCUUCUACGACAGGCUUCCCUCCCAACCACUCAGACUCACCGUUCUCAAACUCGACGGUUCCUGCUUCCAUAUUCAAGUUUCGAAGACCGCCACCGUUGCGGAACUGAAGGACGCAGUGGAGGCCGUGUUCAGUCACGUGCCUCACAAGGGGCCUGCCAAAAUUUCAUGGGCACAUGUCUGGGGGCAGUUUUGCUUAUGCUAUGAUGGACAGAAGCUAGUUACAGAAAAGGAUAAUCUUCGAAAUUAUGGUAUCAAGGAUGGUGACCAGCUUCGUUUCAUCCGCCAUGUUACAAACAAUUGCUGUGUUCAAAGAAAGCGGUUGAAGAAAAGAGUUGUCUAUUUGAAACAACACAGGAGGUGCAGGUCAUCGCAAGUGGAUGGCUAUCAACCCAAAGGAAAUUGUGAUGAUGAUGAGAUUGGUUCUGAUGAUGAAGCCACAGAUAAUGGGAAGAUCAAGCACCAUAUUGAAGAAGAGGAAGAAGAAGAAAGAGAAGAAGAGUGUGUUGGAAAGAACAAAUUAGCUGGCUUUUUGGGAGAGCUGUUUUCAUACACUCCACUGGCAGUUGUGAGAAGAACUAGAACUAAAAGCAAGAUUUGGCCAACAACUAUGCCCAAAUGUUUACUUGGUAGUUUUAGAAAGAUUAGAAGUAUUGUAUGCUUUGGCAGGAAGAGGCACUAUUCUCGGAGACUUCCAUGGAGACCGCAUUAACAAAUGGUGUUUUCUAACCGCACAACAUAUCCAAUGAUGGCAGCAGAUGAAAAAGCCGAGGUGUGAAAAUUUUGGUUCCUAUGCAAAUGAUGUGCGUGUGAAAACUGUAUUGCUGUUUUGACUGAGAUGGCAGCAAGAUGUAGAUCAUCUUUUUAAUGGUUCUAUUGUAUAAACAAACGGUUUGGAGUUGGAGUUUCCAAUGUGCGUCCGUUGGUUCUUAGGAUUAGAAACAUCAAUGUCUUCAGCAAUGAUAUUUUUAGCAAAAUAUCAAGUUAAGGUAUUUGUUGUCACGAAAAAAGAGAGUUUACUUCUGAACUUCAAUAAUUGUUGGUUAAUUUGAUCCUUAAAUCUAGACAUCGGAUCACACAUCCUCCCUCACUUAUGGGUGGUAAUUAAAUUUAGACCCAUUAAGUGACAAGAUUUGUUUGUUAUAAA